GCAGUGGUGGUUCAGUGGUAGAAUCCUUACCUUCCAUGAAGAAGACCUGGGUUCAAUUCCUGACCAAUGCC
Loxodonta africana (African savanna elephant) is the source of this 71-nucleotide transfer RNA. It matches the Rfam family "tRNA". From Rfam's summary of the family: Transfer RNA (tRNA) molecules are approximately 80 nucleotides in length. Their secondary structure includes four short double-helical elements and three loops (D, anti-codon, and T loops). Further hydrogen bonds mediate the characteristic L-shaped molecular structure. tRNAs have two regions of fundamental functional importance: the anti-codon, which is responsible for specific mRNA codon recognition, and the 3' end, to which the tRNAs corresponding amino acid is attached (by aminoacyl-tRNA synthetases). tRNAs cope with the degeneracy of the genetic code in two manners: having more than one tRNA (with a specific anti-codon) for a particular amino acid; and 'wobble' base-pairing, i.e. permitting non-standard base-pairing at the 3rd anti-codon position. The record is from Rfam. NCBI's taxonomy places the organism in Eukaryota, Metazoa, Chordata, Mammalia, Proboscidea, Elephantidae.